RNAcentral lists this ribosomal RNA (253 nucleotides) under uncultured bacterium. RNAcentral's name for it is "partial 16S ribosomal RNA". It matches the Rfam family "Bacterial small subunit ribosomal RNA", at positions 524 to 776 of the family's 1533-position model. The record is from RNAcentral.
GACAGAGGGUGCAAACGUUGCUCGGAAUUACUGGGCGUAAAGCGCGUGUAGGCGGUCACGCAAGUCAGGUGUGAAAGCCCAGGGCUCAACCCUGGAAGUGCACAUGAUACUACGUGGCUGGAGUACUGAAGAGGAGAGCGGAAUUCCCGGUGUAGAGGUGAAAUUCGUAGAUAUCGGGAGGAACACCAGUGGCGAAGGCGGGUCUCUGGGCAAUAACUGACGCUGAGGAGCGAAAGCAUGGGGAGCGAACAGG